UGGCGGCACGCCUAACACAUGCAAGUCGAACGCAGUAGCAAUACUGAGUGGCAAACGGGUGAGUAUAAUGUGGGAAUCUGCCUUUUGGUUUGGAAUAACACGGGGAAACUUGUGCUAAUACCGAAUAAGCCCUUACGGGGAAAGUUUUAAUGCCGAAAGAUGAGCCCGCACUUGAUUAGCUAGUUGGUAAGGUAAAAGCUUACCAAGGCAACGAUCAAUAGCUGUUCUUAGAGGAAGACCAGCCACAUUGGGACUGAGACACGGCCCAGACUCCUACGGGAGGCAGCAGUGGGGAAUCUUGCACAAUGGGGGAAACCCUGAUGCAGCGAUGCCGCGUGAGUGAAGAAGGCCCUUGGGUUGUAAAACUCUUUCGUCGGGGAAGAAAAUGACUGUACCCGAAUAAGAAGGUCCGGCUAACUUCGUGCCAGCAGCCGCGGUAAUACGAAGGGACCUAGCGUAGUUCGGAAUUACUGGGCUUAAAGAGCUCGUAGGUGGUUAAAAAAGUUGAUGGUGAAAUCCCAAGGCUUAACCUUGGAACUGCCAUCAAAACUUUUUAGCUAGAGUGUGAUAGAGGUAAGUGGAAUUUCUAGUGUAGAGGUGAAAUUCGUAGAUAUUAGAAAGAACACCAAAUGCGAAGGCAACUUACUGGGUCACUACUGACACUGAGGAGCGAAAGCAUGGGUAGCGAAGAGGAUUAGAUACCCUCGUAGUCCAUGCCGUAAACGAUGUGUGCUAGACGUUGGAAAUAUAUUUUUCAGUGUCGCAGCGAAAGCAUUAAGCACACCGCCUGGGGAGUAC
RNAcentral lists this ribosomal RNA (798 nucleotides) under uncultured Pelagibacteraceae bacterium. Its description in RNAcentral is "bacterial SSU rRNA". It matches the Rfam family "Bacterial small subunit ribosomal RNA", at positions 37 to 883 of the family's 1533-position model. Lineage: Bacteria; Pseudomonadati; Pseudomonadota; Alphaproteobacteria; Candidatus Pelagibacterales; Candidatus Pelagibacteraceae. The record is from RNAcentral.